AGGGAGGCAAAAUAUCAUCUACCUGCCCUACCUACUUCCAUUGCUACUCAUGAAAUGAAUGGAAAGAAGGGUGUUGUUGCUAAUAAGGCACCAAUGAAAGAGGCAUGAAUACUACAAGACAAACUUGAGUGUCAUCUCAAAGACUCUCAUCAACUACGAAAGGAUUGAGAACAACCCGUCCCUGACCUUGAGAAUUACGGUCCUGGUGGACUGCUGCAUUUCAUGCCCACUCUUGUACCAAGAGGAGCUAAAGAAGGCUUUAUGUCUGUUCCUCCAAAAAUUGCAGGAAGGAGUAUAUAUCCUACAAGAGUGAUAGGAAGGCCAG
This 325-nucleotide long non-coding RNA is filed under the name Homo sapiens (human). RNAcentral's name for it is "HSALNT0192612". Lineage: Eukaryota; Metazoa; Chordata; Mammalia; Primates; Hominidae. The record is from RNAcentral.